This is a long non-coding RNA of Equus asinus (donkey), 2851 nucleotides long. The record is from Ensembl. Lineage: Eukaryota; Metazoa; Chordata; Mammalia; Perissodactyla; Equidae.
UGCUGUUUGAGCACCCUUCUCAGGUCCACACAGAGGAGUGUCUCCAACUCUGCUUCCCAGUCUUCAGCAUUUAUGGUUUCAUGUUUGUGAGGUUUGCUUGGAAUAGAAAUAGGAUGAUCUUAAUUCUAUUACUGUUCAUUCCUUCCAUCCUCUAGAUACUUUGUCGCACUUUCUUUCUUGUGAAACUUUAGAGGAAUUGGUAAUUCCGUUGUCUUACUUUUUCCUCUCAAGUAUCUCACUGGCCUUAUUCAGACUUCAAUUUUAAAUGGUUGUCCCCCCAUGUACUACUUCCUUCCAUUAAUUAGCUGAUAGUUGUUUUUUCCCUCUGUAUUUUUAAUGCCUUUUCUUUACUGUCUGGAACUCCCCUUCCCAGAAUAUAAAGCAAAUAACUUAGGUGCUAGGCUUUAUAAGACUAGAAUCAACUUAAAUAAACUAGAACCUUGGUAACUAGGAUCUUUCCCUAGAAUUUAUUUCCUUUCCUCCGCUUUUAAGGAAAAAAACAUUAUAUGGGAACAAAUAAAUACCAGAGAUUUAGCCAAAAAUUAAAAAAAUAAAAAGCAAAACCAUUCAGGAUUUGUCAGCAAACUAUUAACACCUGCUAUGUACGCUAUUAGAAACAAUGAAGAUUUUUACCUUAAAGUAAAUCUCCUAUCUGUCCCCUUUUUUUAAAAAUCAUUCCCGUCAUCUUGAAGCAAGCCUUCAUGAUCUGGACUUUUGGAACAGCCUUGUAGCCAGUUCCUUAUCCUUCCCACCUCUCCACCUUUCAGAUCAUCAUCUGUGUUACCAGCAGUCUGAUCUUUCUUAAACAGGAAUCUAAUCUUGUUUUGGGUCAUGACAAUCUUCUUUGGCUCUUCAUUGCCUAUAUCCCUAACAUGCUUCAACUUUGCAGCCUCCUUCGGAUGGUAAGCUCCAUGGAAAUAGGUAUCUUACCUACUUUAUUCACCACUCUCUCCCCACAUCUACGUUCCAUAAAUACUUUAUUUUGUAAGUACUGUGGGCCAGGCUUUCCUGAAAGGUGUGCCUCUAAUAGGUUACAGGCUCGUUAAGAAGUACUGAUGGGUGCCUUCUACCUUUGGGAUGGCCACAUGGAGCCUGGCUCGUCCAGGGCUCCACUGAGAGUCACUGGAGUCUGAGGUCUCUGCAGAAUGGUUGGUGAUGUGCUGAACUCAGGCAAGAAGAUCCUCUGUAACCUGGACGUCUACUUUAGCAGCCCGCUUCAGAGUAUACCACUACCCGUUGUAGAUGAGGGGCCAUGGAGCAGCUGGAGAAUUUGUGUUCCAGGUGCCUGAGGAGCCAGCACAGCUAAAGGUGCUACUAGUCAAAAGUCAGGGUAGGAAACAGAAGAGGCCAGUCAGGGGUUCCCAACUCUGGAGAGAAGUCUCAAGUCUGUCUUCACACGUGUUGGAUGCAUUUGUGGCUGACAGGCCCGUUUAGUGGCAUUCAGGUUAGCUAGAGGCUGACCAGUCUAAUAUGUAUGUUCAUCUGCAAAUUCUUUUUAUUAAUGCACAUUGAUAUGAACUUGAUAUGAACAUGUUCAAAUUGCUUUGAGACCUAUUCAUAUUAUCCCAAGAAUUUUUGACAGUAUUUGCUGAUGAAAAGGAAGAUCUUUUAGAUCUUUCAACAUAAUAUAAUGUAAUUGUGUGAAUGACUAAAAUAAAUUAUUUUUACUUGAGCAAAUAAAGUAUAAAGUUUGUUUAUAACUUAAUUUGCACAAUAGUUUGUUCUUAAAAUGCUGUUUAAAUUAACAUUUUAAUACCAAUAUAUUUAAAAUUCAUUGGAGGAACUUAUUUAUAUGAACUCUGGUUCAUUUUAUAAAAUGAAAAAUGUAAUUAAAACCAAGUUUAUCUUUCAUAACUUUAGAUUUUAAGAUCUUCUUAACUGAAAAGUAAAUUAAAAACAAAGAGUAGUGUUUCUAAUAUUAUUGUCAUUAUCUCAUUAUUUAUAUGGGCCCAGUUAGCCUAUUUGAUGCAAAUAAAGCCAGUGUAGUUGAUUUCUUUUUCUUGCCCAGCUUAGUUAAUGGCUAACCUGAGUUAGGCCUGGUAGAAUUCUGUAGAACGCUGCUGUUGUCACAGACAGUGGCCCUUGUGAUUGUCGGGUCUUUCAAGUACAGACUUGCUUUCAGGGGGAAGAUUUUCAAAAAAGUGUGCGUGCAAACCUAUAAACACUAUUAACAUCUAUAUAGUACUUUAUUGUUUCAAAUAUGCUUUUAUACUUAAAAUUUUAUUUAAUCCUCACAACUGCUGUGUGAAUUAGUUUUACUUCCAUAUUAUAGGGUCGUCUUAUUUUAUAGGUUGAGAAACUGAUUCUGAGUAGUUCAGUGACUUACUCAAGGUCACACAGCUAAUACCUCAGUGGAAGUGCAAGAGAUUUGAUUGAACAGAUGUGGCCUCUUUAAGGAACCAAUGUAAGACUAUGAACAAUAAAUUAAGAGUCAUUUUACCUCUUUAGAAGAGGGUGCUUUUUCUCAAGUAUAGCAUUAAGUAGAUUUCUUACUAGAGAAACUUGAAAACAAUAUUUAAAACUAAAUAAAUAUAAAUGAAUAAUUUUUCUGAAGAUUAAAACAGCUGUGAAAUUAGGUAAUUAGGUGAGCAGUAAGAAGUGUGGCAUCGAUUUGAGGUUUAUCUAUAGAGAUGCACGUGUACAUGUGUAUAUAUAGAUUCUGUCACUAAGUUUAUCUAUAGAGAUGCACGUGUACGUGUGUAUAUAUAGAUUCUGUCACUAAGUUUAUCUAUAGAGAUGCACGUGUACGUGUGUAUAUAGAUUCUGUCACUAAGUUUAUCUAUAGAGAUGCACGUGUACGUGUGUAUAUAGAUUCUGUCACUAAGUUUAUCUAUAGAGAUGCACGUGUACG